This 20-nucleotide ribosomal RNA is filed under the name Pyricularia grisea. RNAcentral describes it as "partial 18S ribosomal RNA". Lineage: Eukaryota; Fungi; Ascomycota; Sordariomycetes; Magnaporthales; Pyriculariaceae. The record is from RNAcentral.
AACCAGCGGAGGGAUCAUAA